UGCCUCCUUAACUGUAAGUCGCUUUGGAUAAUAGCAUCUGCUAAAUGACUAAAU
Non-coding RNA from Danio rerio (zebrafish), 54 nucleotides. The record is from Rfam. Lineage: Eukaryota; Metazoa; Chordata; Actinopteri; Cypriniformes; Danionidae.